This is a non-coding RNA of Candidatus Curtissbacteria bacterium, 141 nucleotides long. NCBI's taxonomy places the organism in Bacteria, Candidatus Curtissiibacteriota. The record is from Rfam.
GCUGGUGUCUCUAGCAGUGUGGAACCACUCCAUCCUCGCCUUGCUUCGGCGAAGCGGGCCAUUCCGAACUGGAUAGUGAAACGCACUAGCGGCGACAAUAGUAUAUGGGCAACUGUAUGCGAAAAUAGUUCGAUGCCAGCA